This 497-nucleotide ribosomal RNA is filed under the name uncultured bacterium. RNAcentral describes it as "partial 16S ribosomal RNA". It matches the Rfam family "Bacterial small subunit ribosomal RNA", at positions 28 to 507 of the family's 1533-position model. The record is from RNAcentral.
GAUGAACGCUGGCGGCGUGCCUAAUACAUGCAAGUCGAGCGAACAGACGAGGAGCUUGCUCCUCUGACGUUAGCGGCGGACGGGUGAGUAACACGUGUAUAACCUACCUAUAAGACUGGGAUAACUUCGGGAAACCGGAUCUAAUACCGUAUAAUAUAUUGUACCGCAUGGUUCAAUAGUGAAAUACGGUUUUUCUGUCACUUAUAGAUGGAUCCGCGCCGCAUUAGCUAGUUGGUAAGGUAACGGCUUACCAAGGCAACGAUGCGUAGCCGACCUGAGAGGGUGAUCGGCCACACUGGAAGUGAGACACGGUCCAGACUCCUACGGGAGGCAGCAGUAGGGAAUAUUCCGCAAUGGGCGAAAGCCUGACGGAGCAACGCCGCGUGAGUGAUGAAGGUCUUCGGAUCGUAAAACUCUGUUAUUAGGGAAGAACAAAUGUGUAAGUAAAUAUGCACGUCUUGACGGUAACUAAUCAGAAAGCCACGGCUAACUACGUG